AAGUCGUAACAAGGUUUCCGUAGGUGAACCUGCGGAAGGAUCAUUAUCGAAAUAGAACCUCUAGGGAGGGGGAGGGGGAGAGUCCUCGCGUCGCUCCUUCGAACCUUUCCGAGGCUUCAUACCUCCCACACCCGUGUGCACCCGCUGUAGGUCCUUAGGGACCUAUGUCUUCUCAGAACUCGCAUGUCUACAGAAUGUCGUCCGUGGCCUCGGCCAUCGUAAACCUAGUACAACUUUCAGCAAUGGAUCUCUUGGCUCUC
Molecule: unclassified non-coding RNA, 260 nt
Filed under: Scleroderma citrinum
Lineage: Eukaryota; Fungi; Basidiomycota; Agaricomycetes; Boletales; Sclerodermataceae
Also listed under: 1 other name
Description: partial internal transcribed spacer region
Rfam family: Eukaryotic small subunit ribosomal RNA (bases 1-46)
Source: RNAcentral